Molecule: ribosomal RNA, 450 nt
Filed under: uncultured Ambispora
Lineage: Eukaryota; Fungi; Glomeromycota; Glomeromycetes; Archaeosporales; Ambisporaceae
Description: SSU rRNA
Rfam family: Eukaryotic small subunit ribosomal RNA
Source: RNAcentral
AGCAGCCGCGGUAAUUCCAGCUCCAAUAGCGUAUAUUAAAGUUGUUGCAGUUAAAAAGCUCGUAGUUGAAUUUUGGGUCUGGCCGGGCGGUCCGCCCUCUGGGUGAGCACUGUUCCGACGCCGGGCCUAUCCUUCUGGUGAGUCGGCAUGUCCUUUAUUGGGUGUGUCGGGGAACCAGGACCAUUACCUUGAAAAAUUAGAGUGUUCAAAGCAGGCGUAUGCUCGAAUACAUUAGCAUGGAAUAAUGAAAUAGGACGCGUGGUGCUAUUUUGUUGGUUUCUAGAACCGCCGUAAUGAUUAAUAGGGAUAGUUGGGGGCAUUAGUAUUCAAUUGUCAGAGGUGAAAUUCUUGGAUUUAUUGAAGACUAACUUCUGCGAAAGCAUUUGCCAAGGAUGUUUUCAUUAAUCAAGAACGAAAGUUAGGGGAUCGAAGACGAUCAGAUACCGUCGU